Molecule: unclassified non-coding RNA, 405 nt
Filed under: uncultured Piloderma
Lineage: Eukaryota; Fungi; Basidiomycota; Agaricomycetes; Atheliales; Atheliaceae
Description: sequence contains ITS2
Rfam family: 5.8S ribosomal RNA (bases 1-154)
Source: RNAcentral
AACUUUUGGCAAUGGAUCUCUUGGUUCUCGCAUCGAUGAAGAACGCAGCGAAGCGCGAUAGGUAUUGUGAAUUGCAGAAUUCAGUGAAUCAUCGAAUCUUUGAACGCACCUUGCGCCCCUUGGUAUUCCGAGGGGCAUGCCUGUUUGAGUGUCAUUAAAUUCUCAACCCUGGUAUCUUUUUCAGGGCUUGGACUUGGAGUGUGCUGGCAUCUGAUCGGCUCCUCUCAAAUGCAUCGGCGGAAUUGAACCUUUGGUGUCCGUGUGUCAGUGUGAUAAUUAACGUUGCGCUGUCAUCGGUCAUGGAAGUCCGCUUAUAAUGGUCUUCGGACGAACUCUUAUAUCAAAUUUGACCUCAAAUCAGGUAGGACUACCCGCUGAACUUAAGCAUAUCAAUAAGCGGAGGCU